CCUCCCGCGGUUCCCCGCCCCGUCUCGUGCGGCGCUGGCCGGAAGGAAGCGGCACACUUCCGCUUGCCUGGUCCGCCUUGAGUCCUGUCUGUUCCGGAGACUCUGAGGGCGGCCGCUGAGCCACAGUCGCGGGGAGUGGGGUGUGGAUCCUGUGUUUGCGCACGCAGUCGCCGGUCGCCUCAGGCCAGAGCUAGAGAUACGGCUCGGGAUAGGAGGGCCCGGCGGCUCUGAGGAAGGUUCGCCUCGAGCCGCACGGCCGGGAGCAGCGGCUCCGCGGUGGUCCCCGGGGCUUGAGAGGGGAAUGGCCAUCUGGGACCUCCAUCCGUGAAAAGGCGGCUCAUUGGUCUGACUCCAACAUUAAAUUACUCCAUCCAGGAAGCCUUUCCUAGUCACCUCUGCUGGAGAUCGUCCUCCUUUGUGUGGCGGUUGUUAGUAAAGAGCACACAUUCUGUGGAAAGAUAUUGAGGGUCUUGCUCUGUUGCCCAGACUGGAGUGCCAUCGCGCCAUCUCAGCUCACUGCAGAUUCAACCUUCUGGGCUCACGAAAUCCUCUCAUCUCAACCUCCUGAGUAGCUGGGACCACAGGUUUCUCAUCACAAUCUCUUGACCCUUUUGGAUGUUCAAUCAAGAUACCAGGAAAUGAGAGAUGUGGUUUCACCUGUUGACCAGGCUGGUAUCGAACUCCAGGCCUCAAGCAAUCCUCCUGCCUUUGCCUCCCAAAAUGCUGGGAUUACAGUGAGCCACUGUACUUGGCCUGAUGUCUUCUUGAAUUUCAAAAACUCUUACGGUACUUAAUACAAUGUAUAGGUGCAGCUGACUUGCCUGUUUACAGUAGAUAGAUAUUACUGUUUUAGGGUUUUAAUUAGCUAUCAUGUCCUUUGUAUCUCAUGUCCAUUUGUAUUCUUGUUAGUUUUGUAAGGUAUAACCUAGUUAGGAAUAUGGCUAUUGUUCCACUUUAUCUUUUUUGUUGAGACAGAAUCUUAUGCACUCUGUCGCCCAGGCUGGAGUGCAGCGGUGCAAUCCUGGCUGACUGCAACCUCCGCCUCUUGAGUUUAAGCAAUUCUCCUGCCUCAGCCUCCCGAGUAGCUGGGAUUACAGGUGCCCACCACCAUGCCUGGCUAAUUUUUGUAUUUUUAGUAGGGAUGGGGUUUCACCAUGUUAGCCAGACUGGUCUGAAACUCCUGACCUCAAAUGGUCCACGCGCCUUGGCCUCCCAAAGUGCUGGGAUUACAGGUGUGAGCCACUGUGCCAUGCCUUGUUCCACUUUAUCUUUCAAGAGUAAGUUUCAUCAAUGGAUUAUGGUUAAAGACAAGUGCUGAUUUGGUUUUCCUACCUGAUCGUGAGGCCACUCGAUAGAACUAGUAAGCUAUGCCUUGGGCCUGCAGGAUGGCACCUGACUUGAAGAUGGCACCUGACUAGCAUUUGGACUGGUUUGCAGGCUGAGCACAGGGUUGCUCCAGGUGGGCCCAAAUGCUGAAGAGCCUCACGUUAGAGUUUUUCACCUCUGCGGUGCGACUGUGGUGGACUCCAAUAUCAUCAUUCCAGGGAGGCAUAGCCGCACCAACUGUGUUCCCAGGUUUCACAUGGAGAAGAGUUUUAGAAAAUGCAGAUAGCCUUGAAACCACUGGUUUCCUACCACUGUUUAUUUCAGCAUAACUUUGUGUGGAAUGCUAGCUCUGGAAGAGCAGAAAUAAAUACAGCUUAAGCUUUGAACCAUA
Pongo pygmaeus (Bornean orangutan) is the source of this 1717-nucleotide long non-coding RNA. RefSeq lists it as uncharacterized. The record is from RefSeq and is a predicted model, not a curated record. The transcript has 6 exons. NCBI's taxonomy places the organism in Eukaryota, Metazoa, Chordata, Mammalia, Primates, Hominidae.